Molecule: ribosomal RNA, 826 nt
Filed under: uncultured Campylobacterota bacterium
Lineage: Bacteria; Pseudomonadati; Campylobacterota
Description: bacterial SSU rRNA
Rfam family: Bacterial small subunit ribosomal RNA
Source: RNAcentral
GCUGGCGGCGUGCUUAACACAUGCAAGUCGAACGAUGAAGCCUGAGCUUGCUAGGUGGAUUAGUGGCGCACGGGUGAGUAAUAUAUAGAUAACGUGCCUCUUAGUCUGGGAUAGCCAUUGGAAACGAUGAUUAAUACUAGAUACUCCUUCUCUUUAUAAUGAGAGUUGGGAAAGUUUUUCGCUAAGAGAUCGGUCUAUAUCCCAUCAGGUAGUUGGUAGUGUAAGAGACUACCAAGCCUAUGACGGGUAGCGGGUUUGAGAGGAUGAUCCGCCACACUGGUACUGAGACACGGWCCAGACUCCUACGGGAGGCAGCAGUGAGGAAUAUUGCACAAUGGAGGAAACUCUGAUGCAGCAACGCCGCGUGGAGGAUGACGCAUUUCGGUGUGUAAACUCCUUUUAUAGGUCAAGAAAAUGACGGUAGCCUAUGAAUAAGCACCGGCUAACUCCGUGCCAGCAGCCGCGGUAAUACGGAGGGUGCAAGCGUUAUUCGGAAUCACUGGGCGUAAAGGACGCGUAGGCGGGAUGCCAAGUCUGAUGUGAAAUCCUAUGGCUUAACCAUAGAACUGCAUUGGAAACUGGUAACCUAGAGUAUGGGAGGGGGAGAUGGAAUUAGUGGUGUAGGGGUAAGAUCCGUAGAUAUCACUAGGAAUACCGAAAGCGAAGGCGAUCUCCUGGAACAAUGACUGACGCUAAGGCGUGAAAGCGUGGGGAGCAAACGGGAUUAGAUACCCGGGUAGUCGACGCCCUAAACGAUGUUCACUAGUCGUCGGAAUGCUAGUCAUUUCGGUGAUGCACGUAACAGAUUGAGUGAACCGCCUGGGGA